RNAcentral lists this ribosomal RNA (253 nucleotides) under uncultured bacterium. Its description in RNAcentral is "partial 16S ribosomal RNA". It matches the Rfam family "Bacterial small subunit ribosomal RNA", at positions 524 to 776 of the family's 1533-position model. The record is from RNAcentral.
UACGUAGGUGGCAAGCGUUGUCCGGAUUUACUGGGCGUAAAGCGUGCGCAGGCGGUUCGUUGUGUCGGUGGUGAAAGCCCCGGGCUUAACCUGGGAAUGGCCAUGGAAACUGGCGAACUGGAGUGUGGCAGAGGGGGGUGGAAUUCCGCGUGUAGCAGUGAAAUGCGUAGAGAUGCGGAGGAACACCGAUGGCGAAGGCAGCCCCCUGGGCUAGCACUGACGCUCAGGCACGAAAGCGUGGGGAGCAAACAGG